Molecule: long non-coding RNA, 334 nt
Organism: Urocitellus parryii (Arctic ground squirrel)
Lineage: Eukaryota; Metazoa; Chordata; Mammalia; Rodentia; Sciuridae
Source: RefSeq, a predicted model, not a curated record
CGGGUCGGGCUCGGAUGUGCGCAUUUCCGGACCUUAAGUUGUAUCUAUUGCGCCGGGGGACUGGGCACUCCCAUACCUCGCUGAGCUCGCCUGGUCRGAGCCCACCGUCCCCUGAAGGUGCGUGCACGGACCACUUGGACUCCGUGUCUUGGCCAAGGCUUAGGGCCAGACUUCAGGCUCCCUCCUUCCUGCACCGGCCCGUUUCUUCUCCUCCAGAGAGGUUCAGAGGCCGAAGCUGAGCCUCCCACAGAAGGUGCCUCCUUGCCUAGGACUUCAGGGAAGGAUCAUGUCCCAGGUGAGUGUGGCAUUUCUUGGGACUGGGCUUCAUUUCACC